Vigna radiata var. radiata (mung bean) is the source of this 5846-nucleotide RNA transcript. RefSeq lists it as uncharacterized. The record is from RefSeq and is a predicted model, not a curated record. The transcript has 8 exons. Lineage: Eukaryota; Viridiplantae; Streptophyta; Magnoliopsida; Fabales; Fabaceae.
CCACAGAGUCAUUCAGAAGAAUAGAACCUAGUUCCCUUUUUAAGUGGUUGUUUAGAGAGAAGUUAUCUCUAAACUGUGAUGGAUUUCUUCAGUAUGAAAAGCAUGAAGGCAGCUUACCUUGGUCUCAUAACAUUUAUGUUAGGAUGUAUUGGAAUAAAGUAUGGAAUCUACAAUACCAAUCCUUUCCAUGAUUCAACCCUUUCUCUUCUCGUCACUGCUGUUAUUUCCCAUCUUAUUGCAACAACAGCUGACAUGUGCAAUCCAAACACCAUCAUUAUAUUUUAUUUGUCAGGGAUAGUUGCAUGUGAAACACUGCUGUGGAUUCUCAUUGCUGAACUUUCCUGGUUCUCUCUAGUUAACUUCCUUGUUUUACUAAUACUCAAAUUCUUGUUCUCUCACUUCCUCACUCAGCUGCUCCUUCCCUAUUUCAACUGCAUCACUCAGUUGCUCUUCGGAACACCUCCAAAUGCUUCUGACAUGCCAAAUACAGAACACCAACCGCAGGACUCCCAGGUAUUGAGGCACACCAACUACUAGUUUUACAUCUCGUGGAUUGCCAAAUACGAUUUGUCCCUUUGUUUUGGCCUCAAGUGUUCUACAUCACCCCUGAUGGAAUGAUACCAUUGCCUCCUCUGCUUAUCAGUCAUGCAUCGAUCUUGCUCUCUGCAGCUUAACAAUCGCUUCUCUUCAUCCUCAACGAUUGCAAGGAAUCGCAUGACAUCUAUUCUUUCAGUAAUGACGCCUCUUGCCCUUUCUUUAAUGACGCCUAUGUGUUAGCUGAAUAAGGAAUUUUUGAUAGAGAAUUUCAGUAUUAUCCAAUUCCAUUUUACUUAACUCUGUUGUGUUACCUGAAGACACCCUUGCUUACCUCUUGUUUCUCUUUUCUUCUAUACCUAACUGCACUCGCACCUUACCAAAUGGAAAACUCCUUCGGUUGACUAAUUAAUGUAUGUUUUACUUUUCUACUCCUAUGGUGGGCUGCAUCAAAUGAGAGAAAUCCUCUUCCUGAGAGGAUUCUUGUGCUUCAUAUUAUCUCUUCUUUUUAACUAAGCUUUAAUCACUCUCGAUUUUCUUUUUCUGGAUGACCACUACUUUUUCCAUUGAAGUAUACAUCUCACAUUUCAGCAGAAGGUGCAGAACCUAAUGCAUGACAUGGAUUGAAAUGUUGUUGCUACAUGGGAACUUAAGAAAAGAAGCUGCUCCUUCCCUACUUCAACCGCAUCACUCAGUUGCUCCCUGGAACACCUCCAAAUAGUUCUGACAUGCCAAAUACAGAACAGCAACAGCAUGACUCCCAGGUAUAGUGGCACACCAACUACUAGUUUUACCCCUCUUGGAUUGUCAAAUAUGAUUUGUCCCUUUGUUUUGGCCGCAAGUGUUCUACAUCACCCUAUCAUCAGUAGGUCUUGUCUGGUUUCAUGGAAUUCUUUGAAGGACAAAGAAGGAAUGAUACCAUUGCCGCCUCUGAUUAUCAGUCGGUAACAGAGUUUCUCUCCCCCGUGCUCUUGAAAUUCUUGAAAUUGAACUUGCCAUACUUGUUGAUUUUCUUUCUCUUGUCCAGCUUCUCUUCGUCCUUGGGGAUUGCAAGGAAUCGCAUGACAUCUAUUCUUUCAGUAAUGACACAGAGGACUCUUGUCAUUUCUCCCAAUAUCCUUUCACUGCAUUUUUCUUUUCUUUAUUUAUGUUUCCUCCAUGUUUUUUCCUUUGUACUUUAAUGCUUGUUUGCUUCUCUUGGCAAUUUAAAAUGGAUACGUUAGUAGUUAAUUUUGUCAUUCAUAUUUUCUAUCAACAAUUUGUUUUUUAAUGAACACGAUGCAGUAUGGCUUCUCACGAGAAAUGAAGAGAGCAUAGUUUUUCAAGUCUUUGGCUCAUACUCAAAAGUCUGUAUAAUUUCAGGUAUUGAGGCACACCAACUACUAGUUCUACACCUGUUGGAUUGUAAAAUACGAUUUGUCCCUUUGUUUUGGCCUCAAGUGUUCUAGAUCACCGUAGGUCUAGUCUGGUUUCAUGGAAUUGUUUGAAUGACAAAGAAGGAAUGAUAGCAUUGCCGCCUCUGCUUAUCAGUCAUGCAUCCAUGUUGCUCUCUGCAGCUUAAUACUUCUCUUCGUCCUUGGAGAUUGCAAGAAUCACAUGACAUCUAUACUUUCAGUAAUGACACGGAGGACUCUUGCCAUUUCUCCCAAAUCCCAUCUUAUUGCAUCCGCAGCUGACAUGGCCAACCCAAACACCAUCAUAACAUUUUAUUUCUGCUCCUCCCUAAUUCAACUACUCCCUGGAACGCCUCCAAAUGGUUCUGAGAUUCCAAAUACUCAACUGCAACCUUAGGAUUCCCAGGUGUAUCAAAUCAGGUAUAGUCUGGUUCAUCAAUAUGUAACUUUUUAGUUGCGUUUCUGGCUUUAUGCUUAUGCUUAUAUUAUGUAGUCUUAGUUUUCUCUAUUUUUCCUGAUCAUUACGGGGUAGAUUAAUCCCCAAAUCAUCGGGUUAUUAUCUGCAAAAUAGACCAGCUUAUUUUAGUUUUAAUCUGAUUCUCUAUACAAGUUGAAUUAAUUCUGAUAACAGGGUACUGUUCAUGGACCGAGUGGGAUUUGUGGUUCUUGAUUAAUCCCCAAUUUUUGGGUUCAACAAUAUGUAGGAUUUGAGAUGUAUUUUAGGCUUUAUGCUUAUGCUCAUAUUAUAUAUGCUUUAUUUUCUCUCUAUAAAAAUGCUUUCCUUUUAUGUCAGUUGGAGUCCGAUUUAAGUCCUAAUAAUUACUACAUAGAUUAAUCCCCAAACCAUCAGGUUAUUAUCGGUAAAAUAUACCAAGCUAUUUUAUUUUUACUUUGAUUUUCUGUACAAGUUGGAGUAAUUAACACAAUACUGUUCAUGGACCACCUGGGAUAGGUAAUUCACAAUUGUAUUGUACAAUUUCUGUGUAACUCAUUGGUUGAUCAAAAUGUUGCAAAAGAUUCAAUUCAGAAAAGCCUAACUCCACUGCAAACAUGCUUUAAGCAGGAUAUAUUGGGUAAAGUUUUCUAAAUAGGGCAAUACUUACGGAUGAAUCCCAAUAACAGAAUAAAAAGCUUCCCCAUAAGAGUGCUCUUGACGAUGUUGAUGGACUUAAGACUAGUUGCUGGAUUUUGCUGUAUAGAAAAUCAAAAUAACUUAACUAAAGUGAAAAUCCUAAACCCUAAACUGAAAACAACUAAUGAAAGACCAAGGUAUAGCCGUUUUGUCUGCCGUACACCACUUUCUGCAGUAAACCAAGCGCAAACCUGGUCCUAAACUUCUGGGCCACACCUGCUCUUUUGUUUUAAAAUAAAGUGUUCUAAAUACCUACUGUAUAUCGCUGUUUGAGAUUUAUACAUGAACAUCUAAGUCUAGUCCUAAGCGACGCAAUGUAUUUCUAUCUAUAGCCUCAAUUAUAAGGUAUGAAUUCCUUUCCAGAUCUGCAAUGAACUGAACUAACUUAUUCUUCUCCUUCUUGGGUUCCAUGAAUAUGAAGAUUAUAUUUUUAAGGGAUUUAAGAGAUAGCACUGUUUUAUUUAUUUUUAUCCCCACUCUGAAAUAACUUCAUUGCAAUUUUGUCCCAAUGUAUUUGGGUUUUCCCUAGAGAGUUUGUAAAGGUGUUGGUACUGAGAUAUUUUGGGGAUUGAGUUGCGCCAUUACUUUUUUGUUUCUGUUUAUCACAUUUACUAUCAUCAUUUUGCUUCAGCAAGAAUAAAAUAUCCUACAUCUGUUUUUGAAUUCAGUGCUGCUUAGUUCUAGUCUAAGAAAUGCUUUUAGUAGAUAGUAUUGGAGAAAAACAUCGUAUAGGUCAAUAUUUACUAUGGAUCCCUAAGUGAAAACAUACACUUCUCCAUAGCAGGACUCUUUUUGUUUGUCAAUCACGAUGUUGUGGUUGAGGGCUAUAGAAGGGUACUAUCAGUGGUAGCAUAACUGAAACAAGAAAAAAUAAUAAAAAAUCUGGAACAUUGGCUGGGAUUUAGUUUACUUGUUGGCCAUAGUGCAUGAAUUGUGAUAAACUCCUUGACAUGUGAUCAAUUCCUACUGAAGAAAAAACCUGCUACGUUAGAAUAGUGCUAAAAAGAGCUAAGCUGAACAAAACAUAGGAUUCUACAAACUUGAAAACAUUUAGAAAAAUCCCAAAACCCAGUCCUAAACAACUUCUGUUGCCGUCAAAAUCUCGUCAGAUUUCCCACAAUAUAUGAAUGCAACAUAUGAGCUUUAUCUGUAAAAUCCCUUUUUAGUCCAAAGAAAUUCAAAUGUAGCUUUUGUUUAGAUGCGGAUUUCAUUAUAAGUUCUAACAAGUUUGGAGUUGUUGUGAAUGAGACAGCACUAUUUUUUUCUCUUUAUUAGAUUGCAUGAAACUUAACUUUUAUGUGUUCAGUCCCUUCGUUCAAGAAAGGAGUGUACUGAAGGCAAUAGAUUUAUCAUUAUGCCACAGUAAUAGCUUCAUUGAUAUGGUCAGAAUUUAGUUGGGUUUUUCUUUUUCAAAUAUCAUGAUUUGCUACCAAGACAAUUUCUAUUCCAACCGAUACAUGAAUUGAGAGUCCCCGCAUGUUUUUGUCAUCCAUAUUUUCUAUGAGCAAUUUGUUUUUGAAUGAACGUGAUGCAGUAUGAAUUCUCACGAGAAAUGUAGGUAGUAUAGUUUUUCAAGUCUUUGGCUCAUACUCAACCGUAUAAUAUCAAGAGUAUACUUUCUUUAAGAGAUUACAACACCAUAUUUUUAGUGAGCUACUCCAAUACCUAUGAAGUAUUUGAGGCUUCCAACAUCUUUAGUUUGAAAAUGUUUACACAAAUAUUCCUUCAAUUAAGAUAUUUCAAACAACAUCAUUUCCUUUUAUGACUAUAUCAUUAAUUUAUAUAGUAUUAAUUAAACACAUUUCUCAAGAUAGGUGUUAGAUAUAUUAUCUAUACUUUAUACUUAUCUUUUAUCUUUAGUUUGUUAUUAUUUCCUAUUAGUAUUUUGGACUUCACCUAUAUUUCUUUUCUUAUAAAUAGAGGAUUCUAUGUGUAUAUUCAACACAAGGGAGAUUAAUCUCAUAUAUAGUUUUCACUAUAUUCAAGUUGGUAUCAGAGCAGGUUGUCUGAGUUUCUUCCUACUCUGUUAUUGGUGGUCGGUGGCCACUACCACCGCUGGCCUUAAAAAUCUCAUCUUUUCUGAAAUACCUCAAUGAGCUUGUCUUUCUCAGCCUCAAGAUCACGCUUGUAGUGCUUGACCUGACUCUUCUUUAGUAUUUUUGAUAAGUUUCUUUUAUCUCGUAUUAUUUGUCUGUCAUCGUUCGUCGCUGGCUGUCUACCAUCGUCCGUCAACCGCCAGUCACUAUCGUCGUUUGUCGUACGCUAUUAUCUACCGUUUGCCACCGGUCAUCCAUCGUCGGCCUUCGUCCGUCGACAUUCACUGCUGGCCGCCGCCAUCUUCGUCCAUAGUUUAGUUCGGCGAUUCCAGCUGCGCUCGGAUACGUGUUUUUCAUGCGCCACCUUUUGGGCAUCAAAAUCACACCGCGCCGCGCCAGACCUCCAUCUCACUAUAUUCACCACAAGCUUCCGCCUCGAGUCGAUGACGAUCCAGCUCAGCCGCGGGGAGGAGAGGAACCAACCCUUGUGGGUUUCGCCUCACGUUUUCACUUCGUCACAUUCCCUUUUCGUUCUCCGGUGAGGGAACUAAUAAAUGUUAAAAAUACUUGAUUUUACACUUAUAAAGGAGCUCAAAGUUGUAAUUAUUCAUGUAUUUACUCAUUGAAAAGUUGUAAUUAGAAGUAGGAAAGUGUGUAGUAAAUUGUACAGGAAUUUAUACAUCAAAGUGGAGUGUUGUCAAACAUUUUUCGCUAAGAUAGAAUAAUUUGCACAAAUAAUUAAUAUUUUAU